UACGAAGGGGGCUAGCGUUGUUCGGAAUUACUGGGCGUAAAGCGCGCGCAGGCGGUCUUCCAAGUCAGUGGUGAAAGCCCGGAGCUCAACUCCGGAACUGCCAUUGAAACUGUAAGACUUGAGGAUGAGAGAGGUGAGUGGAAUUCCCAGUGUAGAGGUGAAAUUCGUAGAUAUUCGCAAGAACACCAGUGGCGAAGGCGGCUCACUGGCCCGAUACUGACGCUGAGGUGCGAAAGCGUGGGGAGCAAACAGG
This 253-nucleotide ribosomal RNA is filed under the name uncultured bacterium. Its description in RNAcentral is "partial 16S ribosomal RNA". It matches the Rfam family "Bacterial small subunit ribosomal RNA", at positions 524 to 776 of the family's 1533-position model. The record is from RNAcentral.